RNAcentral lists this ribosomal RNA (1509 nucleotides) under Helicobacter pylori. Its description in RNAcentral is "bacterial SSU rRNA". It matches the Rfam family "Bacterial small subunit ribosomal RNA". Lineage: Bacteria; Pseudomonadati; Campylobacterota; Epsilonproteobacteria; Campylobacterales; Helicobacteraceae. The record is from RNAcentral.
UUUAUGGAGAGUUUGAUCCUGGCUCAGAGUGAACGCUGGCGGCGUGCCUAAUACAUGCAAGUCGAACGAUGAAGCUUCUAGCUUGCUAGAAUGCUGAUUAGUGGCGCACGGGUGAGUAACGCAUAGGUCAUGUGCCUCUUAGUUUGGGAUAGCCAUUGGAAACGAUGAUUAAUACCAGAUACUCCCUACGGGGGAAAGAUUUAUCGCUAAGAGAUCAGCCUAUGUCCUAUCAGCUUGUUGGUAAGGUAAUGGCUUACCAAGGCUAUGACGGGUAUCCGGCCUGAGAGGGUGAACGGACACACUGGAACUGAGACACGGUCCAGACUCCUACGGGAGGCAGCAGUAGGGAAUAUUGCUCAAUGGGGGAAACCCUGAAGCAGCAACGCCGCGUGGAGGAUGAAGGUUUUAGGAUUGUAAACUCCUUUUGUUAGAGAAGAUAAUGACGGUAUCUAACGAAUAAGCACCGGCUAACUCCGUGCCAGCAGCCGCGGUAAUACGGAGGGUGCAAGCGUUACUCGGAAUCACUGGGCGUAAAGAGCGCGUAGGCGGGAUAGUCAGUCAGGUGUGAAAUCCUAUGGCUUAACCAUAGAACUGCAUUUGAAACUACUAUUCUAGAGUGUGGGAGAGGUAGGUGGAAUUCUUGGUGUAGGGGUAAAAUCCGUAGAGAUCAAGAGGAAUACUCAUUGCGAAGGCGACCUGCUGGAACAUUACUGACGCUGAUUGCGCGAAAGCGUGGGGAGCAAACAGGAUUAGAUACCCUGGUAGUCCACGCCCUAAACGAUGGAUGCUAGUUGUUGGAGGGCUUAGUCUCUCCAGUAAUGCAGCUAACGCAUUAAGCAUCCCGCCUGGGGAGUACGGUCGCAAGAUUAAAACUCAAAGGAAUAGACUGGGACCCGCACAAGCGGUGGAGCAUGUGGUUUAAUUCGAAGAUACACGAAGAACCUUACCUAGGCUUGACAUUGAGAGAAUCCGCUAGAAAUAGUGGAGUGUCUGGCUUGCUAGACCUUGAAAACAGGUGCUGCACGGCUGUCUUCAGCUCGUGUCGUGAGAUGUUGGGUUAAGUCCCGCAACGAGCGCAACCCCCUUUCUUAGUUGCUAACAGGUUAUGCUGAGAACUCUAAGGAUACUGUCUCCGUAAGGAGGAGGAAGGUGGGGACGACGUCAAGUCAUCAUGGCCCUUACGCCUAGGGCUACACACGUGCUACAAUGGGGUGCACAAAGAGAAGCAAUACUGCGAAGUGGAGCCAAUCUUCAAAACACCUCUCAGUUCGGAUUGUAGGCUGCAACUCGCCUGCAUGAAGCUGGAAUCGCUAGUAAUCGCAAAUCAGCCAUGUUGCGGUGAAUACGUUCCCGGGUCUUGUACUCACCGCCCGUCACACCAUGGGAGUUGUGUUUGCCUUAAGUCAGGAUGCUAAAUUGGCUACUGCCCACGGCACACACAGCGACUGGGGUGAAGUCGUAACAAGGUAACCGUAGGUGAACCUGCGGUUGGAUCACCUCCUUUCUAGA